GCACAACGCGAAGAACCUUACCCACCUUUGACAUGUACGGAAUCCUUUAGAGAUAGAGGAGUGCUCGAAAGAGAGCCGUAACACAGGUGCUGCAUGGCUGUCGUCAGCUCGUGUCGUAAGAUGUUGGGUUAAGUCCCGCAACGAGCGCAACCCUUGCCAUUAGUUGCUACGAAAGGGCACUCUAAUGGGACUGCCGGUGACAAACCGGAGGAAGGUGGGGAUGACGUCAAGUCCUCAUGGCCCUUAUAGGUGGGGCUACACACGUCAUACAAUGGCUGGUACAAAGGGUUGCCAACCCGCGAGGGGAGCUAAUCCCAUAAAGCCAGUCGUAGUCCGGAUCGCAGUCUGCAACUCGACUGCGUGAAGUCGGAAUCGCUAGUAAUCGUGGAUCAGAAUGUCACGGUGAAUACGUUCCCGGGUCUUGUACACACCG
RNAcentral lists this ribosomal RNA (433 nucleotides) under uncultured bacterium. RNAcentral describes it as "bacterial SSU rRNA". It matches the Rfam family "Bacterial small subunit ribosomal RNA", at positions 954 to 1392 of the family's 1533-position model. The record is from RNAcentral.